Molecule: ribosomal RNA, 292 nt
Filed under: uncultured bacterium
Lineage: Bacteria
Description: partial 16S ribosomal RNA
Rfam family: Bacterial small subunit ribosomal RNA
Source: RNAcentral
GUGUCAGCCGCCGCGGUAAUACGGAGGGGGCAAGCGUUACUCGGAAUUAUUGGGCGUAAAGGGCGCGUAGGCGGCCGUGUGCGUCAGAGGUGAAAUCCCCGGGCUUAACCCGGGAACUGCCUCUGAUACGGCAUGGCUUGAGUCCGGGAGAGGGGAGCAGAAUUCCCAGUGUAGCGGUGAAAUGCGUAGAUAUUGGGAGGAAUACCAGUGGCGAAGGCGGCUCCCUGGACCGGUACUGACGCUGAGGCGCGAAAGCGUGGGUAGCAAACAGGAUUAGAAACCCCCGUAGUCC